This 288-nucleotide ribosomal RNA is filed under the name Escherichia coli. RNAcentral's name for it is "partial 16S ribosomal RNA". It matches the Rfam family "Bacterial small subunit ribosomal RNA", at positions 1254 to 1533 of the family's 1533-position model. The record is from RNAcentral. Lineage: Bacteria; Pseudomonadati; Pseudomonadota; Gammaproteobacteria; Enterobacterales; Enterobacteriaceae.
ACCGCGAGGUCAAGCAAAUCCCAUAAAGUUGUUCUCAGUUCGGAUUGUAGUCUGCAACUCGACUACAUGAAGCUGGAAUCGCUAGUAAUCGUAGAUCAGCAUGCUACGGUGAAUACGUUCCCGGGUCUUGUACACACCGCCCGUCACACCACGAGAGUUUGUAACACCCGAAGCCGGUGGAGUAACCUUUUAGGAGCUAGCCGUCGAAGGUGGGACAAAUGAUUGGGGUGAAGUCGUAACAAGGUAGCCGUAUCGGAAGGUCCGGCUGGAUCACCUCCUUUCUAAGGA